Molecule: non-coding RNA, 205 nt
Organism: Oryza barthii
Lineage: Eukaryota; Viridiplantae; Streptophyta; Magnoliopsida; Poales; Poaceae
Source: Rfam
UUUAAGUGCAGCCAUAAGUUUUCGCGCCCAACUUUGAUCGUCCGUCUUAUUUAAAUUUUUUUUAUAAUUAGUAUUUUUGUUGUUAUGAGAUGAUAAAACAUUAAUAAUACUUUACUCGUGACUUAUGUUUUUAAUUUCUUUCAAAAAAUUUUUAAAUAAGACGGACGGUCAAAGUUGGGCGCGAAAAACCAUGACUACACUUAAA